This 253-nucleotide ribosomal RNA is filed under the name uncultured bacterium. Its description in RNAcentral is "partial 16S ribosomal RNA". It matches the Rfam family "Bacterial small subunit ribosomal RNA", at positions 524 to 776 of the family's 1533-position model. The record is from RNAcentral.
UACGGGGGGGGCAAGCGUUGUUCGGAAUUACUGGGCGUAAAGGGCUCGUAGGUGGCCAACUAAGUCAGACGUGAAAUCCCUCAGCUUAACUGGGGAACUGCGUCUGAUACUGGAUGGCUUGAGUUUGGGAGAGGGAAGUGGAAUUCCCGGUGUAGUGGUGAAAUGCGUAGAUAUCGGGAGGAACACCAGUGGCGAAGGCGACUUCCUGGCCUGUUCUUGACGCUGAGGCGCGAAAGCUAGGGGAGCAAACGGG